This 472-nucleotide ribosomal RNA is filed under the name uncultured bacterium. RNAcentral's name for it is "bacterial SSU rRNA". It matches the Rfam family "Bacterial small subunit ribosomal RNA", at positions 379 to 866 of the family's 1533-position model. The record is from RNAcentral.
AAGCCUGAUCCAGCAACGCCGCGUGGGCGAUGAAGGCCUUCGGGUCGUAAAGCCCUUUUGCAGGGGAAGAUAAUGACGGUACCCUGNGAAUAAGCCACGGCUAACUACGUGCCAGCAGCCGCGGUAAUACGUAGGUGGCAAGCGUUGUCCGGAUUNACUGGGCGUAAAGGGCGUGCAGGCGGUCUNGNUAAGUCUAGGGUGAAAGCUCCCGGCUCAACUGGGAGAGGUCCUUGGAUACUGCCGAACUUGAGNUAUGCAGAGGAAAGUGGAAUUCCCGGUGUAGNGGUGAUAUGCGNAGAUAUCGGGAGGAACACCUAUGGCGAAGGCAGCUCGCUGGGACGUUACUGACGCUGAGACGCGAAAGCGUGGGGAGCAAACAGGAUUAGAUACCCUGGUAGUCCACGCCGUAAACGAUGGGCACUAGGUGUGGGAGGUGUCGACUCCUCCCGUGCCGGAGCUAACGCAUUAAGUG